Molecule: long non-coding RNA, 300 nt
Filed under: Homo sapiens (human)
Lineage: Eukaryota; Metazoa; Chordata; Mammalia; Primates; Hominidae
Description: HSALNT0006552
Source: RNAcentral
UAACCACUGCACAUAACAGCCUGUCUUUGGCUGUAGUACAGAAGGGGGCACAAGGACAAAACCCUGGGAUAUAUUUCUAGCAAUUUUCAUAGGAUCUCAUGCCAAGCUGGAAAACACCAUCUAUGGAGAGUCUUAAAUAGAACAAUACUUGCAUUUUAGAAAAAUCAUUCUUGCUAUAGUGCAUAGGAUGAAUUGCAAGAAGAGAGACUGGGAAGAGAGAUAAGAGUCAAAGGGCUGUUGAAAUGAUCCAGGUAAGAGAUGAAGUCCCAAGUUUAGCAUGGACCUUCCUUCCUGAGCUAU